GCCUUCCUACCAUCUGCCUCCACACGUAUGCCAACGCUAAAGUUUUUUGUUCCUUCCUUUAGGCACAUUAACUUGAAGAAGACCGGCUGUUUGUAAGGAAAGGAUGGCUUGGAUGAAAGAAUAUGGAAGGAAUUACGCUCACUUGCAGGAUGAGGAAAUGCAGCUCCUGCCGUCAAUUCGUCUACAUUCUUCAAGCUCCAAAUCCUCCAGUUGUCUGUGGUCUGUCUGCUCCGGCUCCCAGAGGUCACUUUCUCUUCCGAAAGCGUGGCCCUUUUCUGAUCAUCUGUCAUGAUACACACAGAGGCACAUUGGAAAUGCAGUAGAAAACGGCUGCCAGUUUAAAAGCAGAAGUUAAGAAGCACAAACCCAAGCGUGCGGUGACAGGGCUUCAAGCUAGACCAGCUCCCAGCAGAAGUGAGUCCCAAGAUCAUGGAUUCUGUUGCCUCUUCUGUCUUCUGCGAAGUGGCAGAUGCCAGCACCUGGGCUUGAACUUGAUCAUGACUGUUUAUUUCCUAACCUUUUCUGG
Long non-coding RNA from Bos indicus x Bos taurus (hybrid cattle), 526 nucleotides. The record is from Ensembl. NCBI's taxonomy places the organism in Eukaryota, Metazoa, Chordata, Mammalia, Artiodactyla, Bovidae.